AUGAACGCUGGCGGCGUGGAUAAGGCAUGCAAGUCGAGUGGGUUUAGACCCACGGCGAACGAGGUAGUAACACGUAGGUACGUACCCCCGAGUCGGGCAUAACCAGCCGAAAGGUUGGAUAAUUCCCGAUAGUCUCUUCGGAGUAAAGUUUUAACGCUUGGGGAGCGGCCUGCGGAAUAUCAGCUAGUUGGUAAGGUAAUGGCUUACCAAGGCUAUGACGUUUAGGGGAGCUGAGAGGCUGACCCCCACCGAUGGUACUGAGACACGGACCAUACACCUACGGGUGGCUGCAGUCGAGAAUCUUCCACAAUGGGCGAAAGCCUGAUGGAGCGACGCCGCGUGAUGGAUGAAGUCCUUCGGGACGUAAACAUCUUUUACCGGGGAGAAAAUUUUGAUAGUACCCGAUGAAUAAGGGGUUGCUAAACUCGU
RNAcentral lists this ribosomal RNA (429 nucleotides) under uncultured bacterium. Its description in RNAcentral is "bacterial SSU rRNA". It matches the Rfam family "Bacterial small subunit ribosomal RNA", at positions 29 to 506 of the family's 1533-position model. The record is from RNAcentral.